AUGGCCUCCAGGAGGCUGAUUAUUUUGAACAGAAGAUUCUGGUUCAGAACUCAUGCCAGGUCAGGCACCCCAUUCUUGGUUUGUUUCUUCGGUUUCUUCAGUGAUGUGGACCAGGAGGCCCUGGGGGGUGGCCCUUCCCAGGACAGGGCCCAGGGUGGUGCCCAGGGCCAGGCUCCAUCUUUGAAGGCAAGUGCAGGGAGUGACAAAAACAACACCUGUGGUUCAAAAGAUAAAGUUUAGUUUACUGUAAUUUAAAUUUCAGUUGUUUCUUCUUCCUCCCAGGGAUGGAC
Molecule: long non-coding RNA, 290 nt
Filed under: Sus scrofa (pig)
Lineage: Eukaryota; Metazoa; Chordata; Mammalia; Artiodactyla; Suidae
Description: lncRNA (ENSSSCG00035059949.1)
Source: RNAcentral